Molecule: ribosomal RNA, 109 nt
Filed under: Acetobacter peroxydans NBRC 13755
Lineage: Bacteria; Pseudomonadati; Pseudomonadota; Alphaproteobacteria; Acetobacterales; Acetobacteraceae
Description: 16S ribosomal RNA
Rfam family: Bacterial small subunit ribosomal RNA
Source: RNAcentral
GUCCUCAUGGCCCUUAUGUCCUGGGCUACACACGUGCUACAAUGGCGGUGACAGUGGGAAGCUAUGUGGUGACACAGUGCUGAUCUCUAAAAGCCGUCUCAGUUCGGAU